RNAcentral lists this ribosomal RNA (433 nucleotides) under uncultured bacterium. RNAcentral's name for it is "bacterial SSU rRNA". It matches the Rfam family "Bacterial small subunit ribosomal RNA", at positions 355 to 786 of the family's 1533-position model. The record is from RNAcentral.
UGAGGAAUAUUGGUCAAUGGGCGGGAGCCUGAACCAGCCAAGUCGCGUGAGGGAAGACGGCCCUAUGGGUCGUAAACCUCUUUUGUCAGGGAACAAAAGCGAGUAUGUAUGCUUGUCUGAGUGUACCUGAAGAAAAAGCAUCGGCUAACUCCGUGCCAGCAGCCGCGGUAAUACGGAGGAUGCGAGCGUUAUCCGGAUUUAUUGGGUUUAAAGGGUGCGUAGGCGGCGGUGCAAGUCAGCGGUAAAAGCCCGGGGCUCAACCCCGGCGAGCCGUUGAAACUGCAGUGCUAGAGAAGGCGAGAGGUACGCGGAAUGCGCAGUGUAGCGGUGAAAUGCUUAGAUAUUGCGCAGAACUCCGAUUGCGAAGGCAGCGUACUGGCGCCUGACUGACGCUGAGGCACGAAAGCGUGGGGAUCGAACAGGAUUAGAUACC